AAAAAGAUAAGCUAAAUUAAGCUACUAGGUUCAUACCCUAUUUAUAAAGGUUUUAACCCUUUUCUUUUUA
Molecule: transfer RNA, 70 nt
Filed under: Carpelimus fuliginosus
Lineage: Eukaryota; Metazoa; Arthropoda; Insecta; Coleoptera; Staphylinidae
Description: tRNA-Met
Rfam family: tRNA
About the family: Transfer RNA (tRNA) molecules are approximately 80 nucleotides in length. Their secondary structure includes four short double-helical elements and three loops (D, anti-codon, and T loops).
Source: RNAcentral